GAUGAACGCUGGCGGCGUGCCUAAUACAUGCAAGUCGAGCGGUAAGGCCCCUUCGGGGGUACACGAGCGGCGGACGGCUGAGUAACACGUAGGAACGUACCCCAAAGUGAGGGAUAACUGCUCGAAAGAGUAGCUAAUACCGCAUGUGAUCCACGGAUUAAAGCUUUAUGCGCUUUGGGAACGGCCUGCGCCCGAUUAGCUUGUUGGUGAGGUAAUAGCUCACCAAGGCGAUGAUCGGUAGCUGGUCUGAGAGGAUGAUCAGCCAGACUGGGACUGAGACACGGCCCAGACUCCUACGGGAGGCAGCAGUAGGGAAUUUUCCACAAUGGGCGAAAGCCUGAUGGAGCAACGCCGCGUGCGGGAUGAAUGCCUUAGGGUUGUAAACUGCUUUUAAUAGUGACGAUUAUGACGGUAGCUAUUGAAUAAGGACCUGCUAACUACGUGCCAGCAGCCGCCGUAA
This 460-nucleotide ribosomal RNA is filed under the name uncultured bacterium. Its description in RNAcentral is "partial 16S ribosomal RNA". It matches the Rfam family "Bacterial small subunit ribosomal RNA", at positions 28 to 523 of the family's 1533-position model. The record is from RNAcentral.